This 2607-nucleotide ribosomal RNA is filed under the name Clostridioides difficile. Its description in RNAcentral is "partial 23S ribosomal RNA". It matches the Rfam family "Bacterial large subunit ribosomal RNA". Lineage: Bacteria; Bacillati; Bacillota; Clostridia; Peptostreptococcales; Peptostreptococcaceae. The record is from RNAcentral.
UGGGGUUGCGGACAUAUCAUAACGAAGAGGUAUCGUAAUUGAAGAGGUUUGGAAAGACCCACCACAGAAGGUAAUAGUCCUGUAUGUUAAACGAGAAGACUUCAGAUAUGAUCCAGAGUACCACGGGACACGUGAAACCCUGUGGGAAGCAGGAGGGACCACCCUCCAAGGCUAAAUACUACCUAGUGACCGAUAGCGUAUAGUACCGUGAGGGAAAGGUGAAAAGAACCCCGGGAGGGGAGUGAAAUAGAACCUGAAACCCUGCACUUACAAGCUGUGGAAGCACAUUUCUUGUGUGACCGCGUACUUUUUGUAGAACGGGCCAACGAGUUACGUUAAGUAGCAAGGUUAAGCACUUAAGGUGCGGAGCCGUAGCGAAAGCGAGUUUUAACUGAGCGUUCAGUUACUUGACGUAGACCCGAAACCGGGCGACCUACCCAUGAGCAGGAUGAAGCGAAAGUAAAAUUUCGUGGAGGUCCGAACCCACGAGCGUUGAAAAGCUCGGGGAUGACUUGUGGGUAGCGGUGAAAUUCCAAUCGAGCCCGGAGAUAGCUGGUUCUCCCCGAAAUAGCUUUAGGGCUAGCCUCAAGGUGAGAGAUACGGAGGUAGAGCACUGAAUGUCCUAGGGGGUAUUGCACCUACCGAAGACUAUCAAACUCCGAAUGCCGUCAUCUUAUACUUGGGAGUCAGACUGUGGGUGAUAAGAUUCAUAGUCGAAAGGGCAACAGCCCAGAUCGUCAGCUAAGGUCCCUAAAUGUAAGUUAAGUGGUAAAGGAUGUGGGAUUGCACAGACAACCAGGAUGUUGGCUUAGAAGCAGCCACUCAUUCAAAGAGUGCGUAAUAGCUCACUGGUCGAGUGAUCCUGCGCCGAAGAUUUCCGGGGCUAAAACUUACUACCGAAGCUACGGCAUCAGUAAUGAUGGGUAGGGGAGCUUCCCAUACGGGUUGAAGCAUGACCGUAAGGACAUGUGGACAGUAUGGGAGUGAGAAUGUUGGCAUGAGUAGCGAGAUGUGGGUGAGAAUCCCACAGGCCGUAAACCCAAGGUUUCCAGGGGAAGGUUCGUCCGCCCUGGGUUAGUCGGGACCUAAGCUGAGGCCGAAAGGCGUAGGUGAUGGACAACAGGUUGAUAUUCCUGUACUACCGAUAACCGUUUGAGAGAAGGGAUGACACAGUAGGAUAAGCUAAGCACACUGUUGGUUAUGUGUGCCCAAGCAUUGAGGCAGUCAAAGCAGGCAAAUCCGCUUUGAUAAUGCUGGGAUGUGAUGGGGAGCGAAAUUUAGUAGCGAAGUAGCUGAUUUCACACUGUCAAGAAAAGUCUCUAUCGAGGUUAAAGGUACCCGUACCGCAAACCGACACAGGUGGGUGAGGAGAGUAUCCUAAGGCCAGCGAGAGAACUGUUGUUAAGGAACUCGGCAAAAUGACCCCGUAACUUAGGGAUAAGGGGUGCCACCAUCCGGUGGCCGCAGAGAAUAGGCCCAAGCGACUGUUUACCAAAAACAUAGGUUUCUGCUAAGUCGCAAGACGAUGUAUAGGAGCUGACGCCUGCCCGGUGCUGGAAGGUUAAGGGGAUCUGUUAGAGCAAUCGAAGCAGUGAACUUAAGCCCCAGUAAACGGCGGCCGUAACUAUAACGGUCCUAAGGUAGCGAAAUUCCUUGUCGGGUAAGUUCCGACCCGCACGAAAGGCGUAACGAUUUGGGCACUGUCUCAACAACAGACUCGGUGAAAUUGUAAUUCCGGUGAAGAUGCCGGAUACCUGCGACAGGACGGAAAGACCCCAUGGAGCUUUACUGUAGCUUGACAUUGGGUCUUGGUACUACAUGUACAGGAUAGGUGGGAGGCUUUGAAACCAGGACGCCAGUUUUGGCGGAGCCAUCCUUGGGAUACCACCCUUGUAGUACUGGGACUCUAACCAUAGGCCAUGAAUCUGGUCUUGGGACACUGUCAGGUGGGCAGUUUGACUGGGGCGGUCGCCUCCCAAAAGGUAACGGAGGCGCUCAAAGGUUCUCUCAGUACGGUCGGAAAUCGUACGUAGAGUGUAAAGGCAAAAGAGAGCUUGAUUGCAAGACAUACAGGUCGAGCAAGGAUGAAAAUCGGACUUAGUGAUCCGGUGGUUCUGCGUGGAAGGGCCAUCGCUCAACGGAUAAAAGCUACCCUGGGGAUAACAGGCUUAUCUCCCCCAAGAGUCCACAUCGACGGGGAGGUUUGGCACCUCGAUGUCGGCUCAUCACAUCCUGGGGCUGUAGUAGGUCCCAAGGGUUGGGCUGUUCGCCCAUUAAAGUGGUACGCGAGCUGGGUUCAGAACGUCGUGAGACAGUUCGGUCCCUAUCCGUCGCAGGCGUAGGAAAUUUGAGAAGACCUGUCCUUAGUACGAGAGGACCGGGAUGGACGUACCUCUGGUGUACCAGUUGUUCUGCCAAGGGCAUGGCUGGGUAGCUAUGUACGGAAUGGAUAAGCGCUGAAAGCAUCUAAGCGCGAAGCCAACUUCAAGAUAAGAUUUCCCACCGCAAGGGUAAGACCCCAGAAAGACUAUCUGGUUGAUAGGUCGAAGGUGUAAGUGCAGCAAUGUAUUUAGCUUAUCGAUACUAAUAGGUCGAGGACUUGACCAA